This is a long non-coding RNA of Coregonus clupeaformis (lake whitefish), 102 nucleotides long. RefSeq lists it as uncharacterized. The record is from RefSeq and is a predicted model, not a curated record. NCBI's taxonomy places the organism in Eukaryota, Metazoa, Chordata, Actinopteri, Salmoniformes, Salmonidae. The transcript has 3 exons.
GGUUUUACCACUCUACACAGAUGAAGGUGUCCCACUCUACACAGAUGAAGGUGUACCACUCUACACAGAUGAAGGUGUCCCACUCUACACAGAUGAAGGUGU